AUACCUUUUUCGGCCUUUUGGCUAAGAUCACGUGUAGUAUCUGUUCUUAUCAAUUUAAUAUUUGAUAUGUGAUCCAUUGGCUCACACAAUAUUAAUUCUAUAUUUUGAGGGGGAAGGUUCAUCGAAGUAGCUUGCUACUUGGCCUUCAUGUGUCGUCUAGGUGUUGCACUACAACCUAAGCCUGGCAUGCCCCAU
Capsicum annuum is the source of this 195-nucleotide non-coding RNA. The record is from Rfam. NCBI's taxonomy places the organism in Eukaryota, Viridiplantae, Streptophyta, Magnoliopsida, Solanales, Solanaceae.